Molecule: long non-coding RNA, 36717 nt
Filed under: Brassica napus (rape)
Lineage: Eukaryota; Viridiplantae; Streptophyta; Magnoliopsida; Brassicales; Brassicaceae
Description: long non-coding RNA (BNAP_LNC000819)
Source: RNAcentral
ACCAUACUGGGAUUGUGCCUGCAACAGCUUAGCAUCAAUACCAACCUUGUGCUGUGAUUGGACGACAUAAGGGUUCGGGUUCAGCUCAGCUGGCUUUGCGGAGUUGCAUUGUGUUGGGGCAAACUGCGGUUUUGGCUGAGAAGCAGGUUCUGUACCACAACCACCACGCUUCUCUUGGUUCAUGGUGUUAGGAUGGAAGAAACCGUUAGGAGAUGCGGUCUGUGGAGGGGGUACUGUGCUUCUGUAAUAAGAUGUCCUUGCAUCAUGGGACGACUCUUUGAGGUUCCUGUUGUUCGCAUAAGUUACAGAUGAUGAUUCCACAGCACGGCCUGGUCUAGCAGAUGGUACUCUUGGAGGAGGUCGUAAAGGUUUAGUUGGAUUAGCUGAAGUUGAUGGAACCACUCCAUUUCUUGAAGGCUCGAAAGAAACACGUCGACUGUCUGGUGCAUUCAAGCCAGGUUGAGCAUUGGAGCUUACUACACUGGAGUGGACUGUAGACCUACAAAGAUGAACAUGAAGAGAUUAAUCACAAGUGCCAUACUGAAUCAAUCUGCACAGAAGAGAAAACAAUACCGAGGAAGUGAAGUAUGCUUUCUCUCUGGAGGUAUGACUGGCCCACUUUUGCCGCUAUUCUCUUCUAGGUACGCAAACUGUUUCCUCAGAUGACCAAUGGCACUGCAACAUCAAAAUCAAUCUAUCAGCAAAAAUGAAAAAUGAGAAAAAAUGGUUUUGAAAGAUGCAAGUAAGAACCUAGGAUAUAAGAAACUAGAGCCUUCAGAUCCGUUCAUAUAAUCCUUGAGCAGCUGAGGAUGGUAUUCUAGUAUCUCCCUGUAUAUCAGCUCUCUAAUGUCAUCCUUUGUUAACCUUCUUCGUUCAAACUCAAAUUCCAUCUUCGAGAUUUGCUGACAAGAAGGUUCCCUUUCAAUCUUAGCAAGACCCUUAAAGUAAGGAUCAGCCAGGGCCUGUCAAAUAACAUCACAAUGUUAAGGAGCUGAGAUAUAAACAAGAGCCUAUCCUUGAUAUGAACAAGAAGAGAAAGGAAGGAAGCAAGACACCUCUGUAGCAGUUGGCCUAUCCUUUGGAUCAAAAGCCAACAGUCUCUGCAAAAGGCGCAAUGCUGAAGGAUCUGCGUUAGGAAACUUUUGCGUAAAGGGGACUGGACUCUUCUUCCUCAUUUCCCCCAGGUAUUUUCUAGCUUUUUCAUUUCGAACCUGCGUUACAGAUAAUAUAUCAUUAGUUUAUGCAAAAAUGAACAUACUCCAGCAAACAAAAAUAGAAACUUGGUAAUGAGGAAAACAUACUCCAGCGAUGGUCUCUGAUUUUGGUGUGCCAAGAAGAUCUGUGAUGAGUUCUAACUGAUGAACCACGCUUUUACCAGGAAACAGAGGCUUCCCUAACAACACCUCCGCAAAGAUGCAGCCAAUGCUCCAAAUGUCAAUCGCUGGAGUAUACUGCACAAAAAAAUACAAACCGCAACUCAGUCUCUUGAGCAUCUACAAACUGCAACUCAGUUAUAUCUCUAGCCAUACACAACCACACAAGUACCUUGGAACAGAAUGAGCCACAGAGCUCAGGUGCCCUGUACCAUCUCGUCGCAACAUAAUCCUGAAACAAGAAAGACAGAAGCAAAUUCAAACACAUUGGAGAGAUUACCAAAACUGAGUAGGUAAUCAAGAGAAAGGUGGAGACAAACCGUCCAAAAGACUGUGGUAGGCGUAUCAUUGAAGGACACUCUCGCUAGUCCAAAGUCACAAACUUUCAACUUGCAGUUCGCAUUAGCCAGAAUGUUCUUCGGUUUAAGAUCACGAUGGUAAACAUUAGCCGUAUGCAUAUACUUCAAGGCACGAAGCAUCUGAUAAAGAAAAAACUGAUGGUGCUCCUUCGUCAAGUCAUCAUUAGCUUUGAUGACUUGGUGCAGAUCCGACUCCAUGAGCUCAAACACGACGUAAAUGUCUUUGAACUCUCUUUUAGAAGGCGGAAGCAUGAUGCUCUUGAUCUCGACUAUGUCAGGAUGCCUCAGGAGGCGGAGAAGCUUGACCUCGCGGAGGAUACGGAGAGCGUCGGAGAUGUGUUCGAAGACGUCGUUGAUCUUCUUGAUGGCGACUUUCUCUCCCGUGUGCGUGUCGAUGGCUGCGCACACGACUCCGUAGCUUCCUUUCCCGAUGACUUCGAGGAUCUGGUAACGGUUUGCGUCGCCGUACUCUGUGAAAAAGUCUAUCUCUUUCAUGCUCUGUUUUGCAUCACCAAAAGCAAAGAAACAGAGCAAAACUAGUUAAAAGUCUAUCAGAUUCACAACGAAAGAAACAUACUUGAAGAGACAGAGAGUAACCUUCUUCGCCUGAACUUGCUGCAUCCUCUUCAAAAAGAUAAUAAAGGUCGAGUCUUUACGGAUGAUUCGACGAAACAGAGGAGGCGAGAAGAAUGAUAAAAAAAACAGAGUGAUUUUUCUCAGCAACCAAUAAGUAGAAAGGUGAGAAAGUUAGACCAAACUAAACCGAACCAAACCAAACCGGGGAAGGAUACCGUUCGCUCAACAACCCUAUCGUCUUCCUCAGAUUCAAAAUCCAAAACUCAGCAACCUUUAAACCCUUAACCAGAAAAAAAGAAACCCUUUUUUAAUAUGAAUGAUCUCAGAGGAGAUCUCAAUAAACAAAUUACAGUGACCAAUGAAAAAAAAUGGCGAUUCUUGGAAUCACAAAAAAAAAACCCAGAAACCAAAACCCGAUGAAUGCACUUCACAGAGAAAAAAGGCUUCUUCUUCGGAGAGAUGAGAAGAUCUAUAGAUCCAGAGAUGAGAGGAGAUCUGUAGAUCACUCACAAAUGUUUGUUUGUUUGUUUGGUUAUAUAAAUCUAAUUUUAGCAAUUUUCGUGGUACUUAUUUGCGUACGAGGGGACAGGUCACGAGGCGAUGGCAUUCUCGUAGUUCUUUACAAACUCUGAGGAUUGUUUUGUUACCGUUAGGUACACUGUCGGUGUUCUUUUUUGAGAUAGACCCGUUGUGAGGCAACCUACCGUUGGGCGACCCUUUUUACUAUUUAAAUUCUAACCAUCCAACUAUUCAUAAAUCGAAUUUUAGCCACUAUUUUUAUCAUAUGGUUCAAUUACCCCCUAAAUUGGUCAUUUUUCUUGGUAAUAUUAUAAUUUUGGCAAAAAUUGGUGGGCAGUCAAGUUGGUGACUUGAUCACUGUCAUUGAUGUUUCAGUCAAUAAAUAUGAUUAAAGCUUUAAUAAAGAGAAAAAGAUCAAAAUAACACUAAAUCAAGUUUUUGUUCCCAAACUAGCAUUCAAAGCCAAAAGUCACAAAAAUAGCACUUAAGAGGUGGGGUUUAGGGUUUAGAAUUUAGGGUUUAGGGUUUAGAGUUUAGGUUUUAGGGUUUAAAGUUGAAAAGUGAGGUUUUGGAGAUAAGAUUUCAAAUUUUGAAAAAUAAAAAAAUUUAAAUUUUUCAAAAGAUAUAAUGCUAUUUUGGUCAUUUUAGUUUUUGAGUGCUAUUUUUGUGAUAUAAACUUAGAAAUGUGCUAUUUUGGAGAUUUGCCCUUUAAUAAAUCCCACAAGUUUAUAAAUAGAGCCGUAUAACUUACCUAACUAUCGUUAAAGUUUAUACACAUGGCCGCAAUUGAAAUAGCAAUUACUAUUACUUUAGUUUCUUAAUAAUAAAUUAAUAAUUUUACUACUAUCGUGAUUACGAUUAUAACUUAUAAGUAAUGAGAAGACUCAAGUGUCAAACAACUAUAGGAUGAUUUCCGCAAGCGACCUUGCUGUUGAUGCCGCUACAACGUUAAGAUCACCAAAUAAGAUUGCAUGUCUCAAACCUUUUGAAAAAAAAGACUGCAUGUCGCUCAUUGGUUUCUCUGACUCAGUCUCAAGAAAAAUGAUUAUAUAAAACAUUAUGAUACUCGUGGAAAAUAAAUGUCAAUUAUACAAGUUAACGUUCGUUCCUAACUUUCUUUUUGAGUAAUUCAUUUAUUUUACAACUUGAGUUAUCUGUUUAUAUAUAUAUAGUUGUACACAAAAUAAUAUAGUUUUGAGGUAUUUAAACAUAUGGGUGAGUUGCAAAGUCGGUCCAUUAACUAAAGCAUGAAAAAGACAUACAAUAUCACGGAUCUAAAAGAAUCUCAAAUCUUAAGCCACAUAAAUAGUAUCAUUUAAUAUAUCAAUGUAGGGCAAGGUGUCAAGUGACAAUAUUUAAACAUUUCAACUAAAGUUAAUCUUUCAUUUUCCAUCACACUUUCAUCGUUGUGGUGACCUUUUCUUUAAUAAUAAAAAUACAUACCAAGUCAAUAAGCUAUUUAAUAAUUACAUUGUGAUGGUAUUGGAAACGUGUAAAGUCGGUAUCUCUAUAUCACAGCACAAACUGAUAAGGCCUCCGUAACCAAAAAUUGUUCCAUACAUUUGAUAAUUGCUUAAAAUAACAUGUUACAAGUUCAUAUAAUAUAUCAAACUUGCAGAAAAUUUUGAGAUUUCAGGCUUAGCUUUCAGCAUGACAUAGAAGUCAAUCCAAACUUUUAGGCGACCUGACACAUUUUUAAUAUUCUUGAGGUUCUUUUUAGUACGGAUUUUAAAUACUAGAUCGUGUUGUUUGACAUAUUCAUUUUUUGGUAUGAAUUGACAUAUUUAUUUUUCAGGUAAACCGCAGGAAAUAUACUUUCAGUUUUUUUGCUACUCCUUUGACUGGAAAACGUUAAUCGAGUAGUUUUUUGUUUACUUGUUUUCAUCCAGAUGUGCGUUUUAAAACUAUCAAAACAGUACAAAGGAUAAAGUUUACCAAAUGAUAAACAUAACUCUUGUUUUAUGAAAAACAUACUCGUUUUAUCUUUAUUCAAAUGUGGUAUUGCAAGACUCAGAAAUAUCUCAGACAUGCAGAUUUUUUUUUCUUGUUUUGUUUGGUAGCCUCUAAAAGAAUCAACGAACGUUACGAACCUAAUUCAUAGUUCAAUCAGUGUUCAAUAUUAAAAACAAAUCCUUAUCAAUAUUAUUAUGCUAACAAGUUUUUGUCCCCUGUUACAUCAAGUAAAAGAAAAUAUCUAAUAACGUAUAACACCAAAACAUCCUUUUCAAUCUUCUACACCAGAAAUAUACAGAGGACCUUUUACCAAAAAAAUAAUAAUACAUAGGACCAUAAGUUAAUAUAUUCAUUUUUGCUGAGAUUCAGUCUGAUACAUAUAUAUUAUUAUACCCAACAAUAAUGCAAUUACAUAAGUUAAAAAAAAACAAUAAUGCAAAUACAUAAAGUUGAUAAAAGAAGACAAUAGAGGAUGCUGCAUCAUGUCAAUAAAAUCAAAAUAUAAUGCAUACCUAGUGGUCCUGUGAAAGUGGCAGUAGAAGUUGCAUGUGGUUUAGGGCACAUCAACAAUUGUGUAUGUCGUGUACUUGUCCAAAAGGCAUAUUCUUUUAUUUUGAAACAGAGCAUCCACAUUCCACAGAGAGAUUUAAUAUCAAAGUUCCACUGAGAAUAGAGACAAAUAUGAUUAAAUAUCUGCCGUAACCCACAAGGAAACUCAGAGGUUGAAAGGAUAUAAUAGUCAGAGACGCAUUCUCGACUAAAAACCAUGGGUUAGAACAUAACUUGACUAAUCUUAUUUCUCUUACAUAUAAUAAGCUCAUAUGAAAACAUGACACAUGUGUCAUGGAAUGGAACUAUAUCUUGUGCAUUAUAAGAUGAGCACCAAACUGUGGGUGAAGGGUGAACACCGUGUAAGGAGCAUGGACAUAGGAAGGAGAAAGAUCAAAGGAGAAUCUCUGUAUAAUCAAUGCCAUUGCCAUCUUUGCCUCCAACAUGGCAAAAUUUUGACCUAUGCAUAUCCUUGGCCCCCAAGAAAAUGGAAUGAAGGAGACUUGGCUCUUUGUUGCCUUUGAGAUGCCAUCUUUGAAUCUCUCGGGUUUGAACUCCGCUGCAUCGUUACCCCAUUGCUGGAUGUCGCGUUGGACUAGCAUAAUAGGUAGAGUGAUGUUGACGCCACCAGGUAGCGUCACGCCGCCUAGCUUCAUCUCUUUGUGAAUGGCUCGAGUCAUAUUGAUUACUGGAGGAUAUAGCCUAAGGACCUCUUGUAAUAUCAUCGUCAUCUGUUGGAAACAUUCAGCAAAAAUCAUCAUAACACAACCAGAGUACUGAAGUCACUUCAAGUUUGUUUUUUAAUUUUAUUUUACUUACAACUUUGAGCUGGUUCAAGCCUUCUGCAUUGGGUUCUGUAUCACCAAAAACUUGCUUGACUUCUUCUCUAGCACGAGCCUGCCAGUCUUGGUGUUGGCUUAGAAGAAUCAUUGUCCAAACUAGAAGUACUGAAGUUGUCUCUUGUCCAGCAAAGUAGAACAACUUGCACUCCUCUAUCACAUCUUCAAUGCUCAUUCCGUUUCCUUUACCUUGUCCUAAAUUCGAUUCAAGAAGUGUACCUAGCAAAUCUUGGCUUGGUGCUUCCCCAGCUUCUAUGGCCCUUAGCCUUUUGUUAACGAUCCCUCUCAGUAUAGCUUGGCUUUCUCUAGCUGCUGCUUUCAUCCUUCUAUUACCCUUCGUUGGGAGAUAACUACGUAGAGAUAUCAGCUGGUUCCAAUAAUACUUACAUUACAUAACGACGAAUGAGGGGAACAAUCAUCACCUGACACCAACAAACGGCUAAUUCUAAGACAUGCCAUACCCAACCGUGCCUACGCUUCGGUGUGCUGCUACUGCAACCGCGGCGGCUCCAGCAGGACCGUACUGGGAUUGUGCCUGCAACAGCUUAGCAUCAAUACCCACCUUGUGCUGUGAUUGGACGACAUAAGGGUUUGGGUUCAGCUCAGCUGGCUUUGCGGAGUUGCAUUGUGUUGGGACAAACUGCGGUUUUGGCUGAGAAGCAGGUUCUGUACCACCACCACCACGCUUCUCUUGGUUCAUGGUGUUAGGAUGGAAGAAACCGUUAGGAGAUGCGGUCUGUGGAGGGGGUACUGUACUUCUGUAGUAAGAUGUCCUUGCAUCAUGUGACGACUCUUUGAGGUUCCUGUUGUUCGCAUAAGUUACAGAUGAUGAUUCCACAGCACGGCCUGGUCUAGCUGAUGGUACUCUUGGAGGAGGUCGUAAAGGUUUAGUUGGAUUAGCUGAAGUUGAUGGAACCACUCCAUUUCUUGAAGGCUCGAAAGAAACACGUCGAGUGUCUGGUGCAUUCAAGCCAGGUUGAGCAUUGGAGCUUACUACACUGGAGUGGACUGUAGACCUACAAAGAUGAACAUGAAGAGAUUAAUCACAAGUGCCAUACUGAAUCAAUCUGCACAGAAGAGAAAACAAUACCGAGGAAGUGAAGUAUGCUUUCUCUCUGGAGGUAUGACUGGCCCACUUUUGCCGCUAUUCUCUUCUAGGUACGCAAACUGUUUCCUCAGAUGACCAAUGGCACUGCAACAUCAAAAUCAAUCUAUCAGCAAAAAUGAAAAAUGAGAAAAAAUGGUUUUGAAAGAUGCAAGUAAGAACCUAGGAUAUAAGAAACUAGAGCCUUCAGAUCCGUUCAUAUAAUCCUUGAGCAGCUGAGGAUGGUAUUCUAGUAUCUCCCUGUAUAUCAGCUCUCUAAUGUCAUCCUUUGUUAACCUUCUUCGUUCAAACUCAAAUUCCAUCUUCGAGAUUUGCUGACAAGAAGGUUCCCUUUCAAUCUUAGCAAGACCCUUAAAGUAAGGAUCAGCCAGGGCCUGUCAAAUAACAUCACAAUGUUAAGGAGCUGAGAUAUAAACAAGAGCCUAUCCUUGAUAUGAACAAGAAGAGAAAGGAAGGAAGCAAGACACCUCUGUAGCAGUUGGCCUAUCCUUUGGAUCAAAAGCCAACAGUCUCUGCAAAAGGCGCAAUGCUGAAGGAUCUGCGUUAGGAAACUUUUGCGUAAAGGGGACUGGACUCUUCUUCCUCAUUUCCCCCAGGUAUUUUCUAGCUUUUUCAUUUCGAACCUGCGUUACAGAUAAUAUAUCAUUAGUUUAUGCAAAAAUGAACAUACUCCAGCAAACAAAAAUAGAAACUUGGUAAUGAGGAAAACAUACUCCAGCGAUGGUCUCUGAUUUUGGUGUGCCAAGAAGAUCUGUGAUGAGUUCUAACUGAUGAACCACGCUUUUACCAGGAAACAGAGGCUUCCCUAACAACACCUCCGCAAAGAUGCAGCCAAUGCUCCAAAUGUCAAUCGCUGGAGUAUACUGCACAAAAAAAUACAAACCGCAACUCAGUCUCUUGAGCAUCUACAAACUGCAACUCAGUUAUAUCUCUAGCCAUACACAACCACACAAGUACCUUGGAACAGAAUGAGCCACAGAGCUCAGGUGCCCUGUACCAUCUCGUCGCAACAUAAUCCUGAAACAAGAAAGACAGAAGCAAAUUCAAACACAUUGGAGAGAUUACCAAAACUGAGUAGGUAAUCAAGAGAAAGGUGGAGACAAACCGUCCAAAAGACUGUGGUAGGCGUAUCAUUGAAGGACACUCUCGCUAGUCCAAAGUCACAAACUUUCAACUUGCAGUUCGCAUUAGCCAGAAUGUUCUUCGGUUUAAGAUCACGAUGGUAAACAUUAGCCGUAUGCAUAUACUUCAAGGCACGAAGCAUCUGAUAAAGAAAAAACUGAUGGUGCUCCUUCGUCAAGUCAUCAUUAGCUUUGAUGACUUGGUGCAGAUCCGACUCCAUGAGCUCAAACACGACGUAAAUGUCUUUGAACUCUCUUUUAGAAGGCGGAAGCAUGAUGCUCUUGAUCUCGACUAUGUCAGGAUGCCUCAGGAGGCGGAGAAGCUUGACCUCGCGGAGGAUACGGAGAGCGUCGGAGAUGUGUUCGAAGACGUCGUUGAUCUUCUUGAUGGCGACUUUCUCUCCCGUGUGCGUGUCGAUGGCUGCGCACACGACUCCGUAGCUUCCUUUCCCGAUGACUUCGAGGAUCUGGUAACGGUUUGCGUCGCCGUACUCUGUGAAAAAGUCUAUCUCUUUCAUGCUCUGUUUUGCAUCACCAAAAGCAAAGAAACAGAGCAAAACUAGUUAAAAGUCUAUCAGAUUCACAACGAAAGAAACAUACUUGAAGAGACAGAGAGUAACCUUCUUCGCCUGAACUUGCUGCAUCCUCUUCAAAAAGAUAAUAAAGGUCGAGUCUUUACGGAUGAUUCGACGAAACAGAGGAGGCGAGAAGAAUGAUAAAAAAAACAGAGUGAUUUUUCUCAGCAACCAAUAAGUAGAAAGGUGAGAAAGUUAGACCAAACUAAACCGAACCAAACCAAACCGGGGAAGGAUACCGUUCGCUCAACAACCCUAUCGUCUUCCUCAGAUUCAAAAUCCAAAACUCAGCAACCUUUAAACCCUUAACCAGAAAAAAAGAAACCCUUUUUUAAUAUGAAUGAUCUCAGAGGAGAUCUCAAUAAACAAAUUACAGUGACCAAUGAAAAAAAAUGGCGAUUCUUGGAAUCACAAAAAAAAAACCCAGAAACCAAAACCCGAUGAAUGCACUUCACAGAGAAAAAAGGCUUCUUCUUCGGAGAGAUGAGAAGAUCUAUAGAUCCAGAGAUGAGAGGAGAUCUGUAGAUCACUCACAAAUGUUUGUUUGUUUGUUUGGUUAUAUAAAUCUAAUUUUAGCAAUUUUCGUGGUACUUAUUUGCGUACGAGGGGACAGGUCACGAGGCGAUGGCAUUCUCGUAGUUCUUUACAAACUCUGAGGAUUGUUUUGUUACCGUUAGGUACACUGUCGGUGUUCUUUUUUGAGAUAGACCCGUUGUGAGGCAACCUACCGUUGGGCGACCCUUUUUACUAUUUAAAUUCUAACCAUCCAACUAUUCAUAAAUCGAAUUUUAGCCACUAUUUUUAUCAUAUGGUUCAAUUACCCCCUAAAUUGGUCAUUUUUCUUGGUAAUAUUAUAAUUUUGGCAAAAAUUGGUGGGCAGUCAAGUUGGUGACUUGAUCACUGUCAUUGAUGUUUCAGUCAAUAAAUAUGAUUAAAGCUUUAAUAAAGAGAAAAAGAUCAAAAUAACACUAAAUCAAGUUUUUGUUCCCAAACUAGCAUUCAAAGCCAAAAGUCACAAAAAUAGCACUUAAGAGGUGGGGUUUAGGGUUUAGAAUUUAGGGUUUAGGGUUUAGAGUUUAGGUUUUAGGGUUUAAAGUUGAAAAGUGAGGUUUUGGAGAUAAGAUUUCAAAUUUUGAAAAAUAAAAAAAUUUAAAUUUUUCAAAAGAUAUAAUGCUAUUUUGGUCAUUUUAGUUUUUGAGUGCUAUUUUUGUGAUAUAAACUUAGAAAUGUGCUAUUUUGGAGAUUUGCCCUUUAAUAAAUCCCACAAGUUUAUAAAUAGAGCCGUAUAACUUACCUAACUAUCGUUAAAGUUUAUACACAUGGCCGCAAUUGAAAUAGCAAUUACUAUUACUUUAGUUUCUUAAUAAUAAAUUAAUAAUUUUACUACUAUCGUGAUUACGAUUAUAACUUAUAAGUAAUGAGAAGACUCAAGUGUCAAACAACUAUAGGAUGAUUUCCGCAAGCGACCUUGCUGUUGAUGCCGCUACAACGUUAAGAUCACCAAAUAAGAUUGCAUGUCUCAAACCUUUUGAAAAAAAAGACUGCAUGUCGCUCAUUGGUUUCUCUGACUCAGUCUCAAGAAAAAUGAUUAUAUAAAACAUUAUGAUACUCGUGGAAAAUAAAUGUCAAUUAUACAAGUUAACGUUCGUUCCUAACUUUCUUUUUGAGUAAUUCAUUUAUUUUACAACUUGAGUUAUCUGUUUAUAUAUAUAUAGUUGUACACAAAAUAAUAUAGUUUUGAGGUAUUUAAACAUAUGGGUGAGUUGCAAAGUCGGUCCAUUAACUAAAGCAUGAAAAAGACAUACAAUAUCACGGAUCUAAAAGAAUCUCAAAUCUUAAGCCACAUAAAUAGUAUCAUUUAAUAUAUCAAUGUAGGGCAAGGUGUCAAGUGACAAUAUUUAAACAUUUCAACUAAAGUUAAUCUUUCAUUUUCCAUCACACUUUCAUCGUUGUGGUGACCUUUUCUUUAAUAAUAAAAAUACAUACCAAGUCAAUAAGCUAUUUAAUAAUUACAUUGUGAUGGUAUUGGAAACGUGUAAAGUCGGUAUCUCUAUAUCACAGCACAAACUGAUAAGGCCUCCGUAACCAAAAAUUGUUCCAUACAUUUGAUAAUUGCUUAAAAUAACAUGUUACAAGUUCAUAUAAUAUAUCAAACUUGCAGAAAAUUUUGAGAUUUCAGGCUUAGCUUUCAGCAUGACAUAGAAGUCAAUCCAAACUUUUAGGCGACCUGACACAUUUUUAAUAUUCUUGAGGUUCUUUUUAGUACGGAUUUUAAAUACUAGAUCGUGUUGUUUGACAUAUUCAUUUUUUGGUAUGAAUUGACAUAUUUAUUUUUCAGGUAAACCGCAGGAAAUAUACUUUCAGUUUUUUUGCUACUCCUUUGACUGGAAAACGUUAAUCGAGUAGUUUUUUGUUUACUUGUUUUCAUCCAGAUGUGCGUUUUAAAACUAUCAAAACAGUACAAAGGAUAAAGUUUACCAAAUGAUAAACAUAACUCUUGUUUUAUGAAAAACAUACUCGUUUUAUCUUUAUUCAAAUGUGGUAUUGCAAGACUCAGAAAUAUCUCAGACAUGCAGAUUUUUUUUUCUUGUUUUGUUUGGUAGCCUCUAAAAGAAUCAACGAACGUUACGAACCUAAUUCAUAGUUCAAUCAGUGUUCAAUAUUAAAAACAAAUCCUUAUCAAUAUUAUUAUGCUAACAAGUUUUUGUCCCCUGUUACAUCAAGUAAAAGAAAAUAUCUAAUAACGUAUAACACCAAAACAUCCUUUUCAAUCUUCUACACCAGAAAUAUACAGAGGACCUUUUACCAAAAAAAUAAUAAUACAUAGGACCAUAAGUUAAUAUAUUCAUUUUUGCUGAGAUUCAGUCUGAUACAUAUAUAUUAUUAUACCCAACAAUAAUGCAAUUACAUAAGUUAAAAAAAAACAAUAAUGCAAAUACAUAAAGUUGAUAAAAGAAGACAAUAGAGGAUGCUGCAUCAUGUCAAUAAAAUCAAAAUAUAAUGCAUACCUAGUGGUCCUGUGAAAGUGGCAGUAGAAGUUGCAUGUGGUUUAGGGCACAUCAACAAUUGUGUAUGUCGUGUACUUGUCCAAAAGGCAUAUUCUUUUAUUUUGAAACAGAGCAUCCACAUUCCACAGAGAGAUUUAAUAUCAAAGUUCCACUGAGAAUAGAGACAAAUAUGAUUAAAUAUCUGCCGUAACCCACAAGGAAACUCAGAGGUUGAAAGGAUAUAAUAGUCAGAGACGCAUUCUCGACUAAAAACCAUGGGUUAGAACAUAACUUGACUAAUCUUAUUUCUCUUACAUAUAAUAAGCUCAUAUGAAAACAUGACACAUGUGUCAUGGAAUGGAACUAUAUCUUGUGCAUUAUAAGAUGAGCACCAAACUGUGGGUGAAGGGUGAACACCGUGUAAGGAGCAUGGACAUAGGAAGGAGAAAGAUCAAAGGAGAAUCUCUGUAUAAUCAAUGCCAUUGCCAUCUUUGCCUCCAACAUGGCAAAAUUUUGACCUAUGCAUAUCCUUGGCCCCCAAGAAAAUGGAAUGAAGGAGACUUGGCUCUUUGUUGCCUUUGAGAUGCCAUCUUUGAAUCUCUCGGGUUUGAACUCCGCUGCAUCGUUACCCCAUUGCUGGAUGUCGCGUUGGACUAGCAUAAUAGGUAGAGUGAUGUUGACGCCACCAGGUAGCGUCACGCCGCCUAGCUUCAUCUCUUUGUGAAUGGCUCGAGUCAUAUUGAUUACUGGAGGAUAUAGCCUAAGGACCUCUUGUAAUAUCAUCGUCAUCUGUUGGAAACAUUCAGCAAAAAUCAUCAUAACACAACCAGAGUACUGAAGUCACUUCAAGUUUGUUUUUUAAUUUUAUUUUACUUACAACUUUGAGCUGGUUCAAGCCUUCUGCAUUGGGUUCUGUAUCACCAAAAACUUGCUUGACUUCUUCUCUAGCACGAGCCUGCCAGUCUUGGUGUUGGCUUAGAAGAAUCAUUGUCCAAACUAGAAGUACUGAAGUUGUCUCUUGUCCAGCAAAGUAGAACAACUUGCACUCCUCUAUCACAUCUUCAAUGCUCAUUCCGUUUCCUUUACCUUGUCCUAAAUUCGAUUCAAGAAGUGUACCUAGCAGAUCUUGGCUUGGUGCUUCCCCAGCUUCUAUGGCCCUUAGCCUUUUGUUAACGAUCCCUCUCAGUAUAGCUUGGCUUUCUCUAGCUGCUGCUUUCAUCCUUCUAUUACCCUUCGUUGGGAGAUAACUACGUAGAGAUAUCAGACAACAUGGUUAGUCAAGCUAUAAGCUAUAAGAUCGAGAACGAAGAUGGAUAAAGUUAGCGAAAUCAAUCUAUUCUACGGAUGAGUUAGUUAGUAUUGUGUACUUUUUCAGUUUCAAAUUCUUGUUAAAAAUGUAUUUGUUGUAAGUUAUAUUUUAAUGUAAUGUGUUAUACCGUAUUUGAUUUUAAUGAAAUCCUAAUAGUUUGCCAGAAAAAUAAAGCAUGGUCUAGAGGCCUAGUCUUACUAUAACCUGAUUAGUAGAGGUUCUCAAUACCUAUAUCCAGGGAUGAAAGCUUUACGAAAAGCUUGUAUAAUGAGCUCAGAUAGUUCUGUUUGGAGCUCAAAUAUCCUCUGUCCUUCUUUAUAGCUGCUGCCAAAAGCAGUACGAGAGAUCACAUCUGCAGUCAUGCUCAUAAGCCAAGGCCAAACAUCCACCUCACAGGAUGACCCUUUGUCCAAGACUAUAUUGUCCCAUUUGCCAACUACCUCGCUACAGCUUUGGUGGAACGCAGGUACCAUAUUCUAUACACAGAAACACAAGGCACAAACUGGAUCAGAUCCAAAGCAACCAACAUACAUACAUAUAUCAUACCUAAACAAGGCCGAAUCUGAGAUUAGAAGUCAUAAAUAUUUUUAGUUCAAUCUUAAUAAUUUUUUUUUUAUAAUUUGAAGAUCAUGUAACCUAUGUAUAAAUAACUCUUUAGCCGAAUGUUUCAUUAGAGUGUGUCUAGAACCAGCUAUGUACAUAAAGUACGCUAAUGUGAUUAGGGACUAUAGAAAAAUGAAAGCAAUACCUUGAUUUUCUCAAGGUGGAAAGCAGGGUUGAUGAUUCUUCGGUGUUUAGCCCAUUUAUCACCGUCAUAACUAAAGAGUCCACUGGCUACAGGUCUGCUCAAGGCGAAUGUAUUUGGCUUCUGGAAAUCAUAAAUCUUGUUCAACACUUCCUUGAUUUGCUCGGGGCUCGUAAUGGUGAUGGUUGGUAUAGGUCCACGCCAUGUAAAAAAAGUCCUUCCUGUUCCAACCACAUACAGAUACAAAAAUUAAAACCUUUUGUUCUUUAAUAUGUUCCUAAAAGAUAGGAAUCAAGAAACCUACCGUAAGUCUUGAGCAUGUGAGAGGGGAAGGGCAAGACAAGUGGGACGAUAUCAUCAGUUAGUUUGAUGGGUUUGGACCUUGCCUCCGUCGUCAUGCUAUAUUCCCUUUUCACAUCUCCAACAAGUAACGUGUAAGGAGUUCCGACAAGACCUUGUCUUCUCAGGUAACUCUCAAGCAUCUUUGGUUUAAACCAAACCCAAUUUAGAGUUCUCCAUAUCCACCACAAUACAGCAGCUAUAGCUACUGAAACUGUUACUGACGCAGCUGAUGCUUCCAUUUUCGUUCUUAGAGAAGAGAGAGGGAGAUAGAUAAUCUGAUGGCAUUCUCGGGAUCUAUAUAUAUGCAUGAAUGUGGUGAUGACCUCACCACUGAUGUCAUAUAUUUUUUAUGUUUUGCACGAGAAGCAAAUUUGGAUUUGUGUGAAUAUUAGCUAUAACUUGCGUAAGGGGGAAAAGGCAUGACCGUCAACCUUUUGACAUUUCUUUGUCACUACAUCUCUUUAAAAAAAGAUUAGUCAAACAUUAGCAACGGUUGGUUUUAACUUUUCAACUAUAUAAAAAUAUGUUAUUAUCUAUCUUUGUGAAUACGUAAUUUUUUGACUACUGUUUACAUCUGCAUUCGAUCAGAAAAUUUGGAUUUGUGUGAAUAUUGGCUAUAAAAUUGCGUAAGGGGUAAGAGGCAUGACCGUCAACCUUUUGACAUUUCUUUGUCACUACAUCUCUUUAAGAAAAACAUUAGUCAAACAUUCAUGGUUGGUUUUAACUUUUUUAACUUAAAAAAAAUAUGUUAUUGUCUUUGUGAAUAUGUAAUUUUCUUGGUCUUUUUUUUUUCGUUUUAAAUAUGUUUGUGAUUUUAUUCAAAAUUGUGUUGCCACAUGUGGUAAUUCCUAUCAUACAAUAAAAACUCUAUAAACUAAUACUCGAUAUAUUAAUAAACACGCUAAACUAAUAAUUUCUUUGGUUCCGAGUUAAGCCAGUUAAAAAUAUAAUAUAAAUUGAUGAAAUGAUAUGAUAAUAUUUUUUUAGAAAAUCUUAUGUGAAUAUAUAAUCUUAUUAAAAUCUUAUAUAUAUAUAUAUAUUAAUUUAUAGAGUUUUUACUGUAUAUGCACAAGGUCAAGAGUUUGAGUUUUCGAUUUCAGUUAUGAUGAUUUAAAAUUUUGUUCAGAGUGAUAUAAGCUUUUGAUAAGUUAUAGACAGUUUUUCUGCUUUGUCUGUUUCCAAAUAGAACGUUGUUGGUUAAUGAACCUACAAUGGUAUCGCAAAACUGAAAAACAAAAAUGACUGACACAAGAACUCUAGGCCUGAAUUAAGGACACCUAACCUGUUUUUUGGUGAAUCAACAUCUGAUGCAGCUCUUCCUCCAAGGUAAGAGCCUUCUAUUUGUUUCUGUUAUUCUCCCAGUGACAUUUUUUACUACUAGCCUCAUGUUCUCAGUUCAGGUAUACAUCAUAGAGUAAAAUUCUCUGUUACUUUCUUUUCAUAUAGUGCAACUCAAAGCCAUGGGUUAAGUCUUAUCUAAGGCUAUGAUGCAGUUAUAUUACUGCAAGUUGGUUACUUGAAAGCUGAAACAAUGCUUCAAACUGCCGAUGAACAAGUCAUGACCUUAAAGAAACAUAGUACGUUUCUGGCUCUGUUAGCAGCAAAAAAAAAAUCAAUAUGCAGAGUCAGUUAGUAGAAACAAUCAUCUCUUACGCUUGAUUCGUGCUCAGGUCUGUAAGCUUGCUUCGUUUACUGAAUUUUAUUUUUUCUCAGGAUCCUUCUAAGCAUGUUUUUUAUCUUGCGACAGAUAAACUCAAAUUUGGAACAAUGAACAUGUUGUUCCUCCUUAACCCACCUGGAAAGGCAACCAUACAUGUGGAAAACGUGAAUUCUUUAAUGCAACAUAUGAGACUCAAUUCAACUUUGGCAAUGAGAUCAGUGCUGGUUAGUGGUUCCUCUACAAGUAAGAUGCUCAAAUAAUAGUUUUUUACUUACACUUUCAUCAUAGACGCCUACUCAAACAUGACACAUUAUUCACCACAGGUUGUGUUACACAGAUGGUCAUUGCUCCUCAAGUUCUUUGAUGUAUGGAGGUGUUCAGAAAAUAUAAACAGUAACGGUGCCAGAGCUUGAUUCGUCACCACAGGUCAAUACCGUACUAGCUUCUUAUUUUUAAGCAGGACCCAAGUGUGGAGGACCCGUUGCGAUCUCCCACAAUGUCUCCCGCAUCUCCGCUCUCCUAACAGUGCUGUCAGAGCCUAAUCUUUUCAGUUGCAGCUGUCCAAAUUCAAAUUCUCUUCCAACCAUCAGACAUUCACUAUCUCCGCUCUUCGAUCGCAACUGAUAUAGACACAGUAGUAGCUAUCUAACAUUGGGAUAGACGUAAGUCCAUCGUUAUCAGAACGUGUUCUCAUCUAUAAUCAUCUGACAUAUUAAAUGGUGCGUUGAUAGGGAGGCAAUCACAACCCUGCCGAUGAUACACCAGGAGCUACAUGUGUUUUCUGGAAGAGUUCUGAGGGAAUGAAGCUCACUGGUAGCUACUGGCCUUGCUCAUGAAACAAAUCAGCUCGCAAGUCAAAAUGACUUGAACUUCUCAAGUUUCAGAUAUUACGACCCUAUUUACCAGCAAUUCUUGAUAUCACCUACUAUGUUUUCAAAUUAUGCGCACAAUAAAUUCGUACUUUGCACUUAUCCAAAACUUUUUGAUUUGCUUAUUUGCUACUUUUGGUCAACUUAUUAACAGAAAACAACAAUGUCCUACAAACUUAAUGAAAGGAUGAUGUUUUCUCCAUCCAAGUCACCGUAUGGUCCGAGAAGAGACGAAAAAAACACAGUAGUAGCUAUCUAAAAUCCAACCACAAAUUUACAUUGGAAGUCCAUGCAAAUGUACGCACUCAUCUUAUAUACAUGAUAGGUUUGUUCUUUACAUAUUUCCAUCCUAACCAACUCCACAAUGUUACUAACAGAGAGUUUAAAUUCUAACAUUUCCUAUAGAUAAAAGCAAAAGACUUUUAGGCAAGUGCAUGCUAUUCAGAGAAAAACAUAUUUUACUUCCCUCUAAGGCAUUUUUUGAGAAUUCACUGAAUGAACAAUAAUUUCCAUUGUUUAAUUAUUCGUAAAAAUAUAAAUCAACAAUAACAUUUUUUAGCAGCGGCAGUGAAUUAUCUCUAACAUUACAAUUCUAGAAAAAAAACAAUUAGGAAUCUACGAAGCCAAAAUAUGAAAAGAUAUCAUAGUAAAACAUAACUCAUAAUGUGAAAGUGAACUUACCAUUAAUCAUAAAAUAAACAAAAAUGCAAAUAUAUCUGAAUUAAGCAACACAAAAUAAUAAAAUGGGAAAUAACAUGUCACUAUACUAAACAUAAAUAGAUAGGUCUAAAGUUCACAAAGUCACGUGUACUCCCCAAACCUUCCGUUUCACACUUGGCUCAUGUUUUCAUAUUUGAAACUAUAUUUUCAAUUGUCUGGGUACGUACUAAUUUGACAUCCAGUCAAUGAAUUCGUGAAACGGCACAUUGCCUUACUCCUAACAUUGUUGAAGCCAUAACACUAAAUCUAAAUUAAAUUGAUUUUGUAAAUCCAGCAUCAUAACGCCUCAAGUCGUCAUUCAGUUUAUGUUACUGAUAUUCUCCUUUACGUUCCACAAACCAAUAUUUCUACUAUGAGAAAAAAGAAACAAACAAACUGAUUAUAAUAAUAACUAAAAUAAACUAAACAUAAAUUACUUUUAAUUUAACAUUUCAAUGGAUAAAUGCCAAAUGUAGUAAACGAUUGUGAUUUGUUUGUAUUAGCAACCUGAACACAUCACUAUGGGAAUGAAAUAAUUAAAAAGAAAUCGUGAAACAUAUGUUUAACAAAAAAUAUUACAAAUCACACCAAUAUAAAUAUAAAUUUCAACCAUUAUAUUUUACAAAACCAAACAUGGAAUAACAUAAUAAAACAUACAAACCCGGCGCUAUGCGCCGUGAUACCACUAGUUGAUUUAAAAGCAUGGUUUUAUAAUAUUAGGAUCUGCAGUAAUUUUAUUUCUCUUAUAUAUGACUCAUUUGCAAACAUCACACAUGCAUGGGUUAUGGAACUAUAGCUUGUGCAGGGUAAGAUGAGCACCAAACUGUGGGUGAAUAGUCAUGACUGUGUAAGGAGCAUGCACAUAGGAAGGAGAUAACUCAAAGGAGAAUCUCUGUAGAAUCAAGGCCAUUGCCAUUUUAGCCUCCAACAAGGCAAAGCUCUGACCAAUGCAGAUCCUUGGUCCCCAAGAAAAGGGAAAGUAGGAGACUUGGUUCUUAGUCGCCUUUGAGAGACCGUCUUUAAACCUCUCUGGCUUGAACUCCCCUGCAUCUUGGCCCCAUAGCUCGGUAUCGCGCUGGACUAGCAGAAUAGGUAGACUGAUCUGUACGCCGCCCGGUAAUGUCAGAUCACCUACCUUCAUCUCUUUGUGAACGGCUCGUAUCAGCUGAGCUACUGGAGGAUACAGCCUAAGAACCUCAUACAAUAUCAUGGAUGUUAACAAUGGGUUUUUACCCAUAGGGUACCCUAAACCCGGUUGGAAUUUAAAAACCAAAACCCGUAUAUUCAGUUUUCAAAAUUCGCGGGUUUAUUUUGGGCGGGUCUUGAUUUAUAAAUUACCCGUUCGGGUUUUACCCUAUCGAAGUGCGAGCUGCACAGACGCGUCAGAUGUCUAGUUAUGGAUGGAGACCUUCCUACCGUUAGAUUGAGCUUAUCUUUUGAUACAAAAUAUAGCUUUGAGUUAGCUUUCCAAUUCCACCGGGUUGAGGUCAAUCAGCAUUCUGUAGAAGAAGUUAUGCCUGUUUUACUGCAGAGUGGUCAGUCUGCCUCACGAGAGGAAGCUGUCGAAGAAAUGAAGGACUGUCGAUCGAUAUUGUAGCAUUGGUGUCGGUCGACAGUGAUCCCAUAAAAUAGGACAAGCCUGUUUCGUGACCAAUUUAGGCCCAUAAGUCACCACAUAUUACCAAUAUACUCCUGGACGACCUGAAACCCUAUUUUACUGUUUUCUAAGCCAUUGUUGAUGGCUAUGCUUCAUACUAUUCUAGAGAGAGAGCUGAGGAUUGGAGAGAGAGAGAUCUGUACACCUUGAGAGAGGGAAGAUCUUGAACUCCCUUUGUUUCUUUACUCUAUCAUGUUUUUAUUAUUUUAUUUAAGUAUUAUUCAGACUAUGUUUUUCAUGAAUAUGUCUGAGUAGUCCUUGCUGUUAGGUUUAUGUUUCUCAAUAGGUUGAUAAAUGUAUUACUGACACAAACAAUUGUUAGGGUGUUUAGAAAUAUAGUUCAUUCAUCUAGUUGUGCUUAAAGCUAAGCUUAAGAUUUAUCACCUUUAAACUUAGAACUUAGGAUUAAUUGGGAUCAAGUCAUUGCUUGACCCAAUACCUGAAAAUAACUAGUAUGAUCUAACUGACUAGGUACAGACGAGAGUUGAUCUAGUGAGUUUGAGAAUAUAAAUCAUACCUGUCCGUAAAGCUUUCUGGAAGAAGUAUCGAUCAACGCAGCGAUAGCCCUGUCGAUCGAUAUUUUGAAAGGUGUAUCGAUCGAUAUUCAUAAAGAAUUAUCGAUCGACACUUUCUCGUGAUUAACAUACGAGAGUUAAGAUCCGAGAUCCAGAUUAGAUAAUCAAAGAGAUUACAUCUUUGUUUAAAUUCAAGAACAAUUAAUAUCAAUAAACCCCUAAAAACGCAGUGAUAGCCCUGUCGAUCGAUAUUUUGAAAGGUGUAUCGAUCGAUAUUCAUAAAGAAUUAUCGAUCGACACUUUCUCGUGAUUAACAUACGAGAGUUAAGAUCCGAGAUCCAGAUUAGAUCUGGAAGAAGAUGCUUUCCUAGUCAAAAGCUCCAUGUCCAUAGACAACUGGUACUAUUGUCGACACUGGUGUCGACCAACAACAACAACUGAGCAUCGACCGACAUAAUCAGCCGAUCAUUGAUCGACACCAUUUUUGGGAUCGGACAAAACUGUUCGAAUUCAGAGCCACUCAGAUUUCGCCGCUCGACACCCGCAUCCUCCCACCCUAGCUCGAGUUAAAAGGGACAACAUCGAUCGACAACAAUACAAUGGAAUCGAUCGACAGCAACAUAGGAACACCGAUCGACAACAGCAUAAGAGCAGCGAUCGACAACCGCCAAUGCCAUACCAAGUACGUUUACCAGAUCUUGAUGCACACCGCUUGAAGGAAACUCAAAAUCCAUCUCAGACCUCAGUUUGCUUGAAAACAACAGAGAAGAUAAGUCAGCAAUCUGCAGAAGCACCAGAGCAAGAGCAAUCAACCCUAGCUGAAACCUCUUUCGUUGAGAGUGUCUAUCGACGGUAUAUACCAGGUGUCGAUCGACACCAAAUUGACGGACACGAACCUGCCAUGGAAUGGCAGGCAACAGAAGAAAUAAUUCCAACUGAGAAGAGAGUGAAAUCUAGGAAACCAUAUAUUCCCAAACACCUAACUUGAUGGAUUUCACAAGAGGGUGAAGAGGGUUUCUAAGGAUAUGUGUUUCGAGGAUGCAUAUCAUAAGUAUAGACUUGGUAAUUUCUUCAGAAAGAGUAGAGAAACUGAUAAGGAUAUUGAGCUCCUAUCCAACAAGGCCAGCCGUAAACCCAAGAGGAUACUGAAGAAGGAACAAGAUCCUGGAAAGUUCCUGAUUCCAUGCUCUAUACAUAGCCACCAUUUACCAAACGCCCUAUGUGAUACUGGAUCUGCAGUCAGCAUCAUGGCCAUAGACACUGCGGAGCUAUUAGGACUGAAGAUGGAACCUUCUAAAGAUAGUUUCACUUUCGUGGAUAGCUCCCGAGUAAACUCAGCUGGCAUGAUCAAGAAUGUUAAGGUGGAGAUAGGGGAAUGCAUUAUUCCUGUGGACUUUCAUGCUAUGGAUAUCAAAUCAGGAAGACAUCUCCACUUCUUUUUGGAAGAGCCUUCAUGGCUACAGUAGGGGCAGUCUGUGAUCUUAAGAGAAAUAAGAUGUGUCUGACUAAUGUUGAUGAAACUGUCUUCUAUGAUCCCAUGGAAAAGAAGAAAAGUGAGGAGCUUAUUUCAUGCAUAGGGUGUUUGAAGAUCCGGGACCUACAACUGAUUCAAAUCGCGAGCCUGCAAUACCAGAAUCAGCGUCAGUCGACAUUAGAACUUCAGCAUCGGUCGACUUCCAAUCCUCAGCAUCGAUCGACAAUAAGCCUUCAGAAUCUGACGACUCUCAGUCUUCAGAAUCGAUCGACACAAAGCCUUCAGCAUCGGUCGAUGCCCUCCGAGUUUCUGAACAGCCCGAGACUGAAAAGUCGAAGUUCGGAGGAAGGAACAAGAAUAGAAAGAAGAAAAAGAAAAGGAAUGCAGAUGCAGAUUCCCUAUCAGUAGUUCCUUUGCAACGUCAAUAGGGUAGUCUUGAGUAUAGAGUGCGUUGCAGAGGAGGUUCUGAACCUUUUACCAAGGUUAGAGUGCUAUGUGAUCCAGAGCUGAGAGAGAAAGGAGAAGUUUCUACAAUAGCUUUUCUUAACUGCAUCAACAAAAUGAGGAAGAGAGACACUGAGACUUGUUUUAGAGCACGUACACAUCCUCAUCCGGACUAAAUCACAUCUCCAAAGUCAAGCUAAGUGACUAUAACAAAGCGCUGAGUGGGAGGCAACCUACUAUUAGGUAAUUUCUUUCAAUUUAGUUUAGAUUGUUACUGAUUAAAGUUUUCAUUCAUUGCAUGUCAAAAAAAAAAUCCGAGGAAGACGAGUUUGCACGAGGAUAGACGAUGGCUGCGCAGCAUCGAUCGACAGAGUAUCACUAGCAUCGAUCGAUCGCCACUUAACUGUAUCGAUCAACAGAGCUUCAAGAGAAUUGAUCGCCACUUAACUGUGUUGGUCGACACUCACAUCAAAGUCAGAUAUACUGUUUUCCUUGUUAAAUAUCGUCCUUAUGUUUUAUUUCCCCACUGAUCUUAGACUGUAUAACACUGGAGAUAGUGUUGUUUAAGUCUGGGGGAGGUUCUACUAAUAUUGUGUUUAGUUAGUUAUUUAGAAUAUUAAAAACAAAAAAAAAAUCCGAGUAGACGAUUGCCUAGCAUAUCGACCGAUGAAAGCAUGUCGAUAUCGCUCGACAGUACGUUACUGCAGCGACCGAUGGUAACUCCUUUCCAUCGAUCGACACUUAAACCGGUCAGGUAUAUCGUUCUAACUUGUUAAAUUGAGUACUUAUGAUUUAUUUUUCACCAUAACUCCGACUAGAUAUACACUGGGGACAGUGUAAUUUAAGUCUGGGGGGAGGUUUACUGAUAUUAGUGUGUUCAUGAGUCUUAUCAAAAUGUUUUCAAAAGAGUUUUAUUGAGUCAAGAAGGGGAUAAUGAACUUAUUAGAUUUUUGCUUGUUAUCUAACCACUCUUUAGCACCAUUCUAGACUUACUGAUUGCAGAUAGUACUAAAGAUACUAAAGUGGAUCAACCUGUCACUUGUCCACACUUGCUGAGAUUGUUUGAAGGAACCAAAGCUGACCUCCAACACUAAACCUGACAUAACUGCUUGUCUUGGGGCUUGGUAUACAUGAGAUCAGAUUCUUCAAACAAGUCUGGAAGGUAAAGCGUUGUGUAGAUUUAUCAUCUUUUCUCUCUCUAUUUCGACCUUUUAUUUAUAGGUAGAUAUAUUUAUAUAUAAUAGGUGUUAGUUAUGUGGAAUCUGAACAGGACUUGGUGGCUACAACCAUUAAGGCUUGCUUCAUAAGGAUUCCAACAAAAAGAAUUCGAACGGGACUUGGUGGCGGCAAUCAUCAAGAUUCGAUUCACAUGAAUUCUUAGAUAUAGGUCAAAAAGAAGUGAACAGGACUUGGUGGCAACCACCAUUAAGGCUUGAUUCAUGGAAGCCUGUCCAAUCUUGGUCAAUGAUCCUGCAAUGAAAGCAGACUUUGACUAAAGAGAGAAAUUAGAAGAAACAAAAGAUAUGAACUAACUUUUACCUGCAGAUCCAGAUACUUGUUUGAAAAUCCUUGCAUCCUGUGAUCGAUACUCCCAAGGUAAAGCUUGCACUUUUAUUUAUGCUAAGAAAUGAGGUUGGUAGAGGGGAAUGUCAGACAUGAUAUGUUAAGUUGUUGGCAAUGUGAAUUUGGUUGCUAAGCUAGGAUAUUGUAUAAUGUGCUUUUGUGAUUAGGACCUCUUAGAUGUGGAUUGCAAUAUUGUAGAGGUGAUGAUUCUAAGUUUUAAAUCAUAUGAGUUCCUGCUGUUUUCAAACCUCUUUCAGAGAGACUGCCCGUCUGUUUUGCUUGAAGACAAGCAAAAAGGUAAGUCUGAGGGAGUUGAUAUACCAUGGAUUUUACCCACUUUCAGCCAUGGUAUAUAAGUGUUUUAAUAUAUAUUUACUACUAUAUAGAGUCUAUUUAGAGUAUUUACAGGUUCAGGUACGUUCUGGAGAAAUAUGGUGAUUUUGGAGCCUUUUGAGGUGCAGAACUGCGCAGACGCAUCAGAUGUUUAGCUAUGGAUGUAGACCUUCCCACCGUUAUAUCGAGUACAAUAUUUCGACACAAGAUAGAGAUUUGAGUUAGCUUUCCAACGCCACCGGUUUGAGGUCAAUCAACAUCAUGUAGCAGAAGUUAUGUCUGUUUUACUGAAGAGUGGUCAGUCUGCCUCGCGAGAGAAAACUGUCGAGGAGAUGAAAGAACGUCGAUCGAUAAGACAUCCUUGGUGUCGAUCGACGGUGAUUACAGAAUGCGGGCCAAGUAUAUUUCAAGACCGACUUAAGCCCAGAAAAACCAAAAAUUACCAGAAUACCCUUGGACGACCUAAAACCAUAUUUAUGUAUUUUCUAAGCCAUUGCUGACGGCUAAACUUUCUUUACGCUAUUUAUUCUAUUCAUUGUUCUUAGUUAGGAGAGAAGGGAGAAACUCCUUCAGAGUCCUCCUGGAACUCCUUCGGUUUUUAUAUAUAUUGCAGUUUCAUCUAUGAUUUUUUGUGACAACUAUCAUGUUUGAAUAGAUUCACCUUGCUAGAUUUAGGGUUCAGAUAGUCAUGAGGGAUUAUCCCAAAAAAAUAGAUCUGCUAAGUUGUUAAAAUAUCAAUCAACUUUACUGUUCUUUAAUGUUUGUGUUCUAAAGUAGCUAACUAGGACCUUGUCCAUAGAUAAUUGGACGCAAGAGAAGCAUGGUCCUUUGUCUGAUUUAGUUUACAUUGUGCUAGGAUUGCUAUAAACAAGUGACAACUGAUUUAGUUUAACCUAGUGAACAAGUCAAAAUCGCGCGGUAAAGCUUGCUAGAAGGAACGUCGAUCAACAACUCAGUAGUUGCAUCGAUCGACUGACUGAAAGGUGUAUCGAUCGACAAUCCAUAAUUGGUAUCGAUCGACACUUUCUCAAGACCAACAAGCGACAGCUGAGGUCUUAGAUCUAGAAAAUAGAUAAUCUAAACAAAUAGAAGUUGAUAGAUUAUUACUUAGUUUGAGUUUCAGAAUAUCGUACCUUAGCAUCUAUACCAUUAUAAUUCUGAUUGCCUGAAUAGAAGCUCUAAGUUUAACGAACUAUCCUUCCAUCAAACAACUCAUCAAUUUACUGAACAACUACCUUGUUCACUAUGUUUUGGUAUUUACUGCUUUAUAAUCUAUUAGCCUACCUUAAUCAAUAACUAUUUAGAUCUAGUGUGUGUCCUAGCUCCUUGUGAAUUUGAUCCCUAAGUGCUACAACUCGGCCUCUUAUUUGAAAGAGUACAAAUCACUCCUUAGGGUAAUUUGAGUGAUAUCACAGGUGGAUCGAACCUGAAAUGUGUUGACAUCCCAAGUCUUUUAAUAUUUUCCAUUCAAACGAAAGACAAACUAAAUAAAUUAGGCCCAGGUUUAGUGUCCCAUGUACACCAAACAAGUUUCCUUGCUGUGAAAAAUACCAACACCACAUUUUAAUUUCUUGAUUAAUUUUUGUUGGUCGGCAAAAAAACAUUUAUUAUACCAAUAGUUUACAAAACUACAAAAAGAAAUUUUUGGGGGAUUUUAAUUUUUUUUAUUUACCCGGACAUAACCAACAAUGUUGGAAUAGGCUUAAUUAAGAGUUCCUAUCUGAAUCGUAAGUAUUAUAAAUAAAACUUCAAACGAUUGUAACCAGAAAACAAGAAAGAGACUACUAUACCUUUGACCUCGCUUACAACUAUUGGAGGAUUUGAAAUGAGAUGAGGCUACGAAAGUGACUUUGUUUCAUAUUGUUUUCUUAAGUUAGACCAUAUGGGCCGUUGAAUGGUGUACCGUCACUCAGUUCUUUUCCCCCGCUGAUCAAGUGACAAUUUAGUUGAUAUCACUAUACCAAAAAGCAGCAAGUAACGGACAAAGUUGAAUUGCUUAUUGGACUUAUCGCAAGUGCGGUUAGAGAUUACCUUCUAUUUUUAAUUGAUUUAAACUUACUAGUGUUUUUCGCGCUUCAUAUACAUGCCUAGAGUGAUAUGGGUUUUAGCGAUUUCACACAAUAAGAUAACAUUUUUUAGUUUUAGUUGAGAAUAUGUGUGAAAUCCAUUUAGUAUUCUGGGAAGCGUAUUAUUGGAUGAAGAUGAAUGUAUAGAGGUUGGAAAAAUGUAAGUGGUUGAAGAAGAAAGUAUUAUUGGAUGAAGAUGAAUCUAUAGAUGUUGGAAAAAUGUAAGUGGUUGAAGAAGAAAGUACCAUGCACACCUACCACUACACUCCAAUUUAGUGGGAAAUUUAAAGAACAACCCGGAAACCACAAGUAUGCAUUCAUGACUCAACUUUAAGCUCAUGGUGUUANNNNNNNNNNNNNNNNNNNNNNNNNNNNNNNNNNNNNNNNNNNNNNNNNNNNNNNNNNNNNNNNNNNNNNNNNNNNNNNNNNNNNNNNNNNNNNNNNNNNAUGUGGUUUUGAAAGCUUUUUUUUGUUUCACAAUUUAAUUUGUUUUCAAAGUCCAAUAAAAAAAAGUAAAGUGAUAAAACAAUAUUUAAACAAAAAAAUUAAAAGAAAUUUUAGAAAUAUUUAUUUGACUGGUCACUUUUUCUGUUUGAUUAAAUGCUAAAUACAAAUAUAUUUUAAUCCAUGUGCUUUCAAUCAAAACUAAUUAUAAUUUGAAACAGAUGAAGUAUACUAGUUUGGUUAGAAUUAUUGUUUUCAUUUCAUAAGAAAAAAGAUUUUAUUUUUUUGUAUAAAGUUUUUUUUUUGGACAAUAUAUGUUAGCAUUAUGUUAGCAUGCAUUUCUUAUUUUUAAAGUUAAUCAAUUAAAAAAACACCAAAGGUUUUACAACAUAUGUUAGCACUAGCAUUCAUUUCUUAUUCUUUUUAAAAGUAAGGUGCUCUUGUUGGAUAUAGUAGAACAUACAACGAGCAAAUGUUAGUAUUUGUUAUUUUAUAAUUUCUUGUCCAGGGGAAUGUCGAAUGUAAACCACACAAAAAGUUCCAAAACUCAAUCCACAAGAAAAAAAUGAUUGGUCAGGAGUUAUCCUAGAUAAAUCAAGUGGAAUAUUUCGAGAGCUCGAGCUCAAUCGAGAAGACAUUUAAUUAAGCGUCUCCCUUGGACGUCGUUUUCGCAUUUUGCAAUAUUAUUUCGGAAUAUUCAUGAAACUGGAAUAUCCAAAGAAAAAAAUUACACCUGACAUAGUAAAUUUUAUUUUAAAUGAUUGAAACCAGACUUAUACAGUUUAUAAUCUCAUAAACGCACAUAAUUCUGUAGCUAGUUUUGAUCCUUUUGGAUUUGAAACCCUUAGCCUAUUCACUCUUUGACUACAUCCUAUUUCCAAUACGGAAAUUUUAAUUUUAAAGAAUAAUAAUCGAUGAAGUCUUACUAGUCAAAUAUCAAUUUAAUUAAAUUCUUUUUUAUUUAAAAAUUUAUUUUAUAGAAAUUUGGAUAGAUUAUACGCAUGCUUAACGUGUUCAUGUCAUUUUGUAAUUUGUAACAAAUAUGAAAUACGUAACUUUCUUGGUAGAAAAAGUAGACACAGCCAAAUGUGGACCUCAUAUAUAUAGUCGGUCGUACGCAUUCAAUCUUUUGCUCUUUGCUCUAUAAAGAAAGUUAUCUUCUAUUACAAAUCACCUUCAUUAGUCUCUAUAUUAGUUCUCUCUUCUUUGCAAAACUUCUGCCUCCAUAAGAACAGAACAGAGCAAAGAAGAAAAGCUGAAGCUUUGUUAUUUUGAAGUAAAUCAAAUAGACUCUCUUUCUUCUUUUGUAUGAGACAGAGAAGCUUCUUAUGGAGUUCUUUACUGCAGAUGGUUCUUUCUCCAUGUGGAAAGAUGUUGCUGGAAUCGCAGGUAAAAACUUUAAUCUGCUUUUGAUUCUGUUCACUGUGGUUUUUCUUUGGUACGUUUUGAUUCCUUUUUAGUUUAAUGGAUAUACAUAUAUUGCAUCUGGCUUUAUUGCCAUGAGUAUCACCAAAUCAAGAGAUAUGUCUGGCCAUUUCUGGUCUGCUCUUUUCUUCUUUGGCACUAAAAACAAGAACUCUAGCUUGAUGUUUACUAGUGUUGCAUUGUUUGUUCUGUUUCAGGUAACAUAUUUGCAUUUGGGCUAUUUGUUUCACCGAUGUGAGUUCUUCUUCUUCUUCAUCAUCAUUUACUAAUUUUAUUAAAUUUGGACUUGUCCUUGGAUUCCAACUUAGACCAGUUGGCGAGAAAUUGAAUGGCUCUAGUUUCUUAUAUAUUAGUGUUGGUUCCUUCAAAUUUUCAAUGUGAGAUUUAAACAUGCCCUCUCAAGAUGUGAUGACUAUUAUCAGUCCAUCUCGAACCGGAUCCCUUAGGACCGAUAAUAAACUUUUUUUUGGACUACCCUAUCUGAAUCAACAAAUGAAACUCUGAUAUUAUAUUAAAUUUGAAAUUAUCAUAGGCUUCCAACUUAAAUCCAAUUGGCGAUAAGUAGAUUAGUCUUACCUAUUUAUAUAUUAAUGUUGGAUCUCAACAAAUCUUGUACUCCUUGCUUGUAAUAAACAUAGUUUUCUUCUUUAUCUAUACACUUCACUGGUUUCUUUCUCAUUUAUAUGUGGGUGUGUGUCUGUUUUUUAUCUCCAGGCCAACAUUUAGGAGAAUCAUGAGGAACAAAUCUACCGAGCAAUUCUCUGGUUUACCAUAUAUUUACGCUCUCUUAAACUGCUUGAUCUGCCUUUGGUAUGGCUCACCUUACGUAUCCCAAAGAAACUUCAUGCUUGUGACUGUUAAUGGCGUUGGAGCCACUUUCCAGCUUUGUUACAUUAUCCUCUUCAUCUUGCAUACAGACAAGAAAACCAAGGUUUCUUGAUUGAUUCUUUCACAUGAAAAAAAUGUUUAAAAAUGUUGGUUAUAUCUCUAAUCAAGAUCUUGAAUCAUGGCAGAUGAGGAUGCUUGUUUUGCUUCUUGUGGUGUUUGCUGUGGUUGCGUUGGUUGUAGCUGGAAGUUUGCAGAUACCUGAGAAGGUCACACGAUGGUACCUUGUCGGGUUCUUGAGCUGCGGUUCUCUUGUCUCGAUGGUUGCUUCGCCCUUGUUUGUUAUUGUAAGUUUCAAAGAAACCCAAGCAAAUAGUUUCAUGUGUUCAGCGUUGUUGAUUGCUUAAGUUGUCUUGUGUUUUUCAGAACUUAGUGAUUCAGACAAAGAGUGUUGAGUUCAUGCCGUUUUAUCUCUCUCUAUCGACUUUCUUGAUGAGCGCUUCCUUCUUCAUGUUCGGACUAUUCAACAGUGACGCCUUUGUUUAUGUAAGUUUUACUCUUCAGUGAGUGUGAUUGUAGUUUGUGUUAUUUCUCUUAAAAGUAUUAACAAACCUUUUUUUGAAAACUCAGACACCAAAUGGAAUAGGAACGGUUCUUGGUAUUGUGCAGCUAUCUUUGUAUUGCUACUACCACAGAAACUCUAUAGAGGAGGAAGCAAAAGAGCCCUUGAUUGUUUCUUAUGUGUGAGUUUCAGCAAAGAAGCUAGUUUUGAUGGCUCAAUUGCUUAAGAUUAUGUGAGACCACAUGAAAGAUUCACUGAUGUGGGUUUUGUUUGUGUGUGUGAUGGAGAUCUCUGGUAGGUUGAUUUUUAAGAACAUUUGUUCAUAUAUUGUUUGUUCUAAAAGAUUAUUCUAUUUGUUUGUCAAUAAGAUUUUUUUCUUUGUUAUAGAACAUUUGCAUCAAAUUGUAGCAAUUGGUUCAUAAGAUAUUGCUUUUUUUUUUUCUUUUUCCAUUUGGCGUAUCUAAACAAAUAAACACACAAGAAAGGAAGAAGAUUUGUCUCUAUCACAUAAGACAUUGGUUUACAUAAACAUGUUUUGUUUCUGUGUUACCCUUCAUGGCGGUUUUAAAACUUGUUACACAUGAAAAACUUCGAUAAAACAACUAUCAAAGCAAAUCUCUCAAAGUUGUUCUUACCAGAGGAGUCUGUUUAACCUGCAAAACAGUAACAAGAACAAUUGUAUCAAUCUCUAACCAAAAACAAUUUUGUUUUUGUCUAAUGUAGAAUAAGUGUAAACAAACACUCACUUCUUCUUGAGAUGGAGAAUGCUGAAUCGGAUCGCCACGUUCAUCAUACAAUAUUAAACCACUAAACCGUGGAAGUUCACAUUUCUCACCCAUCAGAAUCGGUCGCUGCCAAACCUGAUCAACCGCAUUAAGACUCCUUUCUUUAACCGCAAGCAAUGUCCUCUGCGGCGGCGGUCGUGUUUCCAUCUCCAUCCACUUAGCUGCAGAGCUCCAACAAAACGAGCCCAUCAACCUUCUCUUCACUUUGCUCCACUUACAGUUCCUCUUUUGAUCCAUUGUUCUUGACUCAACAAACGCCCACUCCGCGUCUGCUACUUGCUUUCCUCGAGAAUUGCGGUUGAGAAACGCUGCGGCUAUGCAGAGGAGCGUUACUGCAGCCGCUGUUCCGACCAAGAUCACUACCGCGUCUUUCGUUGUUAGCUUCAGUUUAUCCUCCAACUUCCACAAGGCUUCCAUUAUUUCUUUGGGGGUCUAUUAGAGCUAUUGGAGAGUAAAGGGUGAGGAACGUAUAUAGGUAAAAAUGGUGAGCUUCAUGUGAAUUCCACCGAUAUAUUUAAUGUUCAUUACUAUGAUAUUUAAUAUUUAUACCCUAUAUAGUUUUCUUUUCCCCUCAAUUCAAUAUCUAAUCUCACCUUUGGCUUUCAUGGUUCAUUAUGGAAGUUGGAAACUGUAGCCGUUGUAGCCUUUUCGCAAUUAGAAAUUAAUCGUUUUUUUUUUGAAAAAGGGCUAAUUAGAAAUUAAUCGUUAAUGGAAAACAAUAUAAAUUCUUAUUAACACUUAUUUUUGUUGAUGCUUCAACACCAAAGUUAUACUCAUAUCUUUUCAUUUAAAAAUAAAUAAAUAACUAUUUUCUGAGUAUUGAAUUAAUUACAUAAUCUAAGUGAACUCAGAAUAUAUAUUGUAAAUACAGAAAUACUCGACAUUUAAAUGGUAUAAAAUUUAUAAUUUGGUAAAAUGCCCAUUUAAAUAAUUGAAAUUGUAAAUUAUUUUUAUAAUAACAUUUAAUCCAUGCACAAUACAUAGCACAUUUAGUAUGAAAUAUUAACUUUGUUGGUACUUAAAAUGGUUUGUUAAUAACCAUAGUGGUUUCCAUUGGAUAAAAGUUGUCCUAUUGGUCAAGGCUAUGGUUCUUUAACUCCUACGUAGAACAACCGGGCUUGCCUGUCACUGGUGAGUAGAUAUCCAAGGGAUUAGCUUCCACCCCGACGAAAAAAAAACAUGAGAAAAAAAAGGUUUGUUAAUUUGUUUUGCUUUUGGUAUAGCUUAUGUAAUAUGCUAUUAUAUAACUAUAUAUCUCAGUAGCUUGUAGGGACACAAAAGUUUUUAUGACAUCACGAGCCGCGCAAGGUUUGUUUGUUCAUGUUCUUGUUCGAUAUGUAAUCUCACCUUUGACUUUCAUGAUUCAUCAUGGAGCAAACUGAAUGACAAUUAUCUUCACAUAUCUCAUGUUCUUGUAGUUCUAGGUGCACAUACCCUAUAGAUGAUGACAAUGCUGGUUCAGGCACAUAGAUGCAGGCGUUGAAGGCUAUUAUCCUCCUCCUUAUGGACCACCAGCUGCCUGGACUGGUGGCUAUGAUCUGCAGCAGCAGCAACAUCCACCACAAGGACAUGAAUGAAAAUGUCAACAACUCAUGAAACUUAAAGCAAAGCAAGUCAUCCUUUUGUAGCAUUGCUCUGGCUUUUGGUUUGCAUACAAUUUUGAACAACCCACACUAAUAAAACUGUUGUUCAUCUAAGAAGGCCAUUAAUAUCAGAGAUGGGCCGAAUCUAGGCCCACUAAAUAUGGCGGGUAAAAAUUAUAAAUUUUAAUUUCUGUUGAUGAGACUUUCAAAAACGUGGCUGGUGUUCUUUCCCAUUCACCGUUUCACCAAACGCCGUUUCCGAUAAUCCCUUUUCUCCGUUUGAUCUGAACGUUGAGUAUAAAAGCCUGAAGUCGAAAAGGAUCGAGCUUUAAUGGUUGAAACCAGUCUAGAAGUAGAAGAAGAUGAUGAUGGUGAUAAAGAGAAUAUUGAUCCUUUAGAUGAAGAAAAAGAUGGGAUUAUGUGUGAUGUAUGUCAAAGCACAGACGGUGAUCCAUCGAACCCAAUCGUGUUCUGCGACGGUUGCGACUUAAUGGUCCAUGCUUCUUGCUAUGGCAACCCUUUGGUUAAGGCUAUACCAGAAGGUGACUGGUUUUGCGGACAGUGUAUUGCGUCAAGGUCGUUGAAGAAGAGAGAGAAGAUGUUCUCUUGCUGCUUGUGUACAACCAAAGGUGGGGAGAUGAAACCGACAAAGGAUGGUCGAUGGGCUCACAUCACAUGCUCGUUGUUUGUGCCGGAAGUAUACUUUGAGGAUCCUGAAGGAAGGGAAGGGGUUUGUUGCAGCGAGAUACAGAGUAAGAGAUGGGAAGAUGUGUGUUAUUUGUGCGAGAUUAGAGGUGGGUGUGUUAUAGAGUGUUCUGAGAUGAAGUGUGAGUUGGGGUUCCACGUUACUUGCGGGUUGAAGGAAGAUCUUUGUGUUGAGUACCGUGAAGGGAAGAAGAGUGGUGGUAUUGUUGUUGGUUUCUGUGAUGAGCAUACUAAACUGUGGGAGAGGGUAAUAUUUGCAUCAUCAUAUACUUAUCUAUUUAGUUGUGUAAAAAAUGUGUAGGGAUUAGUUUUGAUGAUAAGUUUUUGUUUGUCAGCAACAGGAAAGUGGGACGUACAAGAUUGUUGCCAGAAAUUAAGAUAACGAGUUGCAGAAAGCUGGAAGGCCAGAAGCACUCUUUUACUUGCAACUCCAAGAAGUUUCAUGCUCGGCAAGUUUUAUGCUAUGUUCGAAUUGUUAUUAACUUGCAUAAGGCUAAAGCUUGAUCAAUCUAAUUCCUUUCUCAUUGUAUCCUUUUCUGGUUUAUGUCAUGAUGAUCAUUGACUAUACUUUCUUUUGGAAGAUAGAUCAGGAUGUCGAUCAUCUUCUGCUCUUUACUCUGUGAUCGUAAAUCAAAUAAGAAACACUUUCUUGAAAUGCAUCCUUAUGAUUAAACCGUAGAAAAUAUAAUAAUCAAAGUACACUCAAGAGAUUAAUACCAUUUGACUAAAAUAAUUCAAUUGUUAAGGUAUAUUUAUCCAUCAGUAUAUCAGUAAUAAUUUGGUAAGCCUUUUCACUCGGAUGAUAAGGGUCAAAGAACACAUGAGAGUCCCAAACAUGUAAAAGGAGUAAGUUUGUUGCACAAAACAACCAACUCAAUUCUUCAUGUACCACAGGUCCACAACAAUUGCAAAACCAUGUAUAAUAUAUUAUUAGUAUAUAGUGUGAAAGGUUUUUAGCUGUACAAAGCUAGUCACUUGGUCAAUAAGUGUUUAGUGAGAAUUUUUUUGAUGCUAGUAGCUAUCAAAAACAGAUGAUUAUCAACUGCCAAGACACUGACGGAUGUUCAGAUAGAUCAGGAUAUUAAUUGGUUAUGUUCUGCUCUUCAAACUCAGACUUAACAAGUUCAGUCAUUUUACUGUCUCAAUCAUGUUUGAAGCAUUGCAUUAGAUUCAAAGAGGCAUGUUUUUUUUCUUGAGAGCAUGUUAACCGAAAUAUAAUGCUGAUAACCUAACCGGAAUCUCAUACCAAUAAUCUGAUUUAACAAAAGGCAUUGGUGCCGCCGCCUCGAAACAAACAGAGAUCGAGAAUUUCUCCGACCAUCAGAACUGCAACAACGACACAAGUCAGAGUGUCUUAAGUACUCAAAGUUCAGUUCCAUUAAAAUUAAUUAACAAAAACCCUAGAACUUCAACGGUUUCAGAAACGUGUAGUGACUCUUUUUCUCGCAGAUUUGCAUCCAAAACGCCAGUUCUGAUUCAGAACGUGAAGCAAUCGAAACCCAGCAGAACCGAUGAAGACUGAAUCGAUCUAGAAAAAAAGAAAAAAAAAAAUUUGGACCAUUUCUCGAUUUGUGCGUGUCAUCCUUGCGCAGGGGCCAUGCUAAUCUUCUCUGUAUCGUUCCAAUUUUAUCGGAUGUCCCCGAAGGGACAAUCAUCUUGGUCACUCUAUCGCUAUAUAAACACAGCUUCUUCUCUUCACUUAACCGAUGUGGGACUGUUUUAAGUUCCUCGCUCGUUGGCAGCUUUAAUGGGCCUAUUCUUUGUUUUAAGCCCAUUAACGUUAUCAACCAUAUAAAAAGCAACUAAAAAGAAAGCUUAAUUUCAAAAUCGUGGAGCCAAAGAACAUGACCGUCGUCUUCCUUCGAAUCCAGAUUCAAAAAAUUUCCAUCGGAACUCUGAGGUUACUCCCACGAAACCUCUCCACUAUAAAGCCUUCUCCUUUAUCAUCUCUCUACUCCACACUCUCUUCCCGAAUCGAAGAACACCCGAAGAGAUACGAGCACCACAAUGUCGCUACCUGCAUCGCCGCAUUGCAACGCUGCGCGCACCGCAACGACGCCGUUUCCGGCGGAGAGCUUCACGGCUUCAUGGUCCGGAAAGGGCUUCUCGAAGACUCCCCUCGCGCCGUCACCAGCCUCGUCAACAUGUACGCCAAGUGUGGUCUCAUGCGGCGAGCGAUCACCGUCUCCGGUGGAUCCGAGCGAGACGUGUUUGCUUAUAACGCGAUUAUCUCUGGGUUUGUUGUGAAUGGGUUUCCUUUUGAUGCUGUUGAGAUGUAUAAAGAGAUGAGAGCUAAUGGAAUUUUACCCGAUAAGUAUACGUUUCCUAGUUUGCUUAAAGGAAGCGAUGCCAUGGAGGUUUCUGAUGUUAGGAAGGUUCAUGGAUUAGCGUUUAAACUUGGGUUUGAUUCGGAUUGUUAUGUAGGGAGUGCGUUGGUGAGUUCUUAUUUAAAGUUUAGGUUAGUGGAGGAUGCGCAGAAGGUGUUCGACGAAUUGCCUGAGAGAGAUGAUAGUGUGCUUUGGAACGCUUUGGUUAUUGGGUAUUCUCAGAUAUUUAAGUUUGAGGAUGCUUUGAGAGUCUUUAGUCAAAUGCGUGAAGAAGGUGUUGCCUUGAGUAGGCAUACAGUCACCGGCGUCUUGUCAGCGUUCACGGUGUUAGCGGAUGUUGAUAACGGUAGAUCGAUCCACGGCCUCGCGGUGAAAACGGGGUUUGAUUCUGGUGUUGUUGUGUCGAAUGCUUUGAUUGAUAUGUAUGGAAAGAGUAGGUGGCUAGAGGAAGCGGUUAAGAUCUUUGAAGCGAUGGAUAAGGAGAGAGAUAUCUUUACGUGGAACUCUGUUUUAUGUGUUCAUGACUACUGUGGUGAUCAUGACGGAGCUUUAGCUAUGUUCAACAGGAUGCUUUGUUCCGGAAUCCGACCUGAUCUCGUUACGUUGACGACAGUUCUCCCCACUUGCGGUCGUUUAGCUGCGUUGAACCAGGGAAGAGAGAUUCAUGGAUACAUGAUCGUCAACGGACUCUUAAACCGAAACUCCAAUGAUGAGUUCAUCAACAACUCCUUGAUGGACAUGUACGCGAAAUGCGGGGACUUGAGAGAUGCGCAGACGGUUUUCGACUCGAUGAGGAGUAAAGACUCAGCUUCUUGGAACAUUAUGAUUAACGGUUACGGUGUCCAGAGCUGCGGCGAGCUAGCUUUGGAUAUGUUCUCGCGUAUGUGCGAAGCAGGUGUCAGACCUGAUGAGAUCACAUUCGUUGGGCUGCUACAAGCAUGUAACCACUCAGGCUUUGUUAGCGACGGGAAAAGGUUCCUGGCGCAGAUGGAGACGGUAUACAACGUUAUCCCAACGAGUGAUCACUACACUUGUGUGAUAGACAUGCUUGGCCGUGCGGGGAAGCUACAAGAAGCAUAUAAGUUAGCAGUAACAAUGCCUGUGGGGGAUAAUCCUGUAGUCUGGAGGUCAAUAUUAGCAUCUUGUCGUCUCCACGGGAACAACAUAGGCCUGGGGGAAUUGGCUGUAAAGCGGUUAUAUGAGCUAGAGCCAGAGCAUAGCGGCGCUUAUAUAUUAAUGUCUAAUAUGUAUAUGGAAACCGGUGGAUACGAGCGAGUUUUGGCCCUUAGAGACGCAAUGAAAAAACAGAAUAUGAAGAAGACAGCAGCUAGUAGCUGGAUUGAGGUCAAGCAUGAGAUUCACACGUUCUUUAACAGCGAUAAGACUCACCCGGAAUAUGAAUCUAUCGAGGCUUGUUUAAGCCCGUUGACUUCUCAUAUAUUAGGUGGUCAUUAGUGUACGCUGCUCGACGAUUAUGCCAAAUUUUGGUUAGUCAUAAUAUCCUUCUUUUCGAGAUUUUCAUAACCUUGAAAGAGUAUUAUAGUUUACUAAUAAUGUUGUGUGACAGACGAUCGUUUCCGGAUUAGAAUAUCUACGAACCAACAACAAUUGUUUGGCCAUUGUUCUGUAUUAUUAUAGCCCAGAGUGAUGGGACCAAUCUUGAAAACUGAAAUCACCUCGAUCCAGGAUUAGCAGAGCUGUUUCCAAGAGCACAUUUGGCUUUCCCAUAGAGACGUUUGGUGAGGUUAAAACUGAAACUUUUUUUUAUUAUUACAAUCUCAGAUGAGUUCAAAUCAGGCCUGGUUCCAAUAAUACUUACAUUACAUAACGACGAAUGAGGGGAACAAUCAUCACCUGACACCAACAAACGGCUAAUUCUAAGACAUGCCAUACCCAACCGUGCCUACGCUUCGGUGUGCUGCUACUGCAACCGCGGCGGCUCCAGCAGGACCGUACUGGGAUUGUGCCUGCAACAGCUUAGCAUCAAUACCCACCUUGUGCUGUGAUUGGACGACAUAAGGGUUUGGGUUCAGCUCAGCUGGCUUUGCGGAGUUGCAUUGUGUUGGGACAAACUGCGGUUUUGGCUGAGAAGCAGGUUCUGUACCACCACCACCACGCUUCUCUUGGUUCAUGGUGUUAGGAUGGAAGAAACCGUUAGGAGAUGCGGUCUGUGGAGGGGGUACUGUACUUCUGUAGUAAGAUGUCCUUGCAUCAUGUGACGACUCUUUGAGGUUCCUGUUGUUCGCAUAAGUUACAGAUGAUGAUUCCACAGCACGGCCUGGUCUAGCUGAUGGUACUCUUGGAGGAGGUCGUAAAGGUUUAGUUGGAUUAGCUGAAGUUGAUGGAACCACUCCAUUUCUUGAAGGCUCGAAAGAAACACGUCGAGUGUCUGGUGCAUUCAAGCCAGGUUGAGCAUUGGAGCUUACUAC